Long non-coding RNA from Panthera uncia (snow leopard), 864 nucleotides. RefSeq lists it as uncharacterized. Lineage: Eukaryota; Metazoa; Chordata; Mammalia; Carnivora; Felidae. The transcript is spliced from 3 exons. The record is from RefSeq and is a predicted model, not a curated record.
GGCUGGAAGAACUGGCGUAAUUCUUCCAAGUGUUGAUUAUAUGGCCUAGACUUUGCUUUAGAAUGUGGGCCCCAUUAUUCUCAGAUUUGGGAGGUUUAAAAAACCGAGACAGAAAGAAUCCCAUUUGAUAGUCUGUCAUGUUAGAUAGGCAAAACUUAUUCAUUGAACCACCAAGGUUAUGCAAGGAAGUUUGUGAUCAAUACCUACGUGAGGAAUAGCAUGUUGGUAAUAGGUAGUAGUAUUUACUCCCUAUGUGUGUGUGAUCUGGCUUCAGGGAUGCUAGUCAGAAUAAAGGGCAAGAGAUAUACAAAACAGAAACAAGUGCUUCCUUUCAUAAAUUCUUCUUUGUAUAGAUCAGACAGACUGGUAAGUGUUGGAGGCUCUGGGUAUGAGUCAGUAGAGCUCCUUCUCAAGGUCUGUGCUACUUUUUGUCAUGUUAGGCCGACAGAACUGGACUCACGACCCCCAACUGAGUUAAAUCCUAAGACCUAGUUUUCAAAGACCGGAUGUACAUGCCACCACAUGCUAUAUAUAAUAUGCAAGAUAACCUCCUUCAAUAAUGGAAAUGAAGAAGCUCCGUUGAACAGAGAAGAACACCAGGAACAUGGACAAAAGCUCAGUACUGGUAUAGGUGUGACGAGCAACAAAAGGCUGCAGUGACAUAUUGUGCCAUAAACAAACGUACGAUGUAAACCUGUUCUUAGAGAAUUGAGCACAUUAGGAGGUUAAAUUCUUCCUGGAACAUGAAGACUCUCCUAAACAGUAGAGAACUACUCAUUCUCUUUUCUAAAACUUCAAUACACCAUCCUCUCAACUGCAUUCAACAUUGAAUUGUCAUAAAUAAACAUCAUUCAUGGAAGCAUA